RNAcentral lists this ribosomal RNA (592 nucleotides) under uncultured archaeon. RNAcentral describes it as "bacterial SSU rRNA". It matches the Rfam family "Archaeal small subunit ribosomal RNA", at positions 262 to 856 of the family's 1478-position model. The record is from RNAcentral.
GACGCGUAAGGGCCUUGAGAGAGGGAGCCCUGAGAUGGACUCUGAGACAUGAGUCCAGGCCCUACGGGGCGCAGCAGUCGCGAAAACUUCACACUGGGGGAAACCCCGAUGAGGGAAUUCCAAGUGCCAGCACAUUGUGUUGGCUGUUCUUUGGUCUAAAAAACCAGAGAAGUAAGGGCCGGGUAAGACGGGUGCCAGCCGCCGCGGUAAUACCCGCGGCCCAAGUGGUGGUCGAUAUUAUUGAGCCUAAAACGUCCGUAGCCGGUCUUGUAAAUCCUUGGGUAAAUCGACCAGCUUAACUGUUCGAAGUCCGGGGAGACUGCAAGACUUGGGAUCGGGAGAGGUCAGAGGUACUUCUGGGGUAGGGGUAAAAUCCUGUAAUCCUAGAAGGACCACCGGUGGCGAAGGCGUCUGACUAGAACGAAUCCGACGGUGAGGGACGAAGCCCUGGGGCGCAAACGGGAUUAGAUACCCCGGUAGUCCAGGGUGUAAACGCUGCGGGCUUGGUGUUGGGGGUCCUUUGAGGGCGCCCAGUGCCGGAGAGAAGUUGUUAAGCCUGCUGCUUGGGGAGUACGUCCGCAAGGAUGAAACU